GAUAAUAGGCAAACAAGAAAUAAAUAACAAGGGGACAAACAGGAGAACACUGUGAAGGUGGGAUGAUAAUAGGCAAACAAGGAAUAAAUAACAAGGGGAUAAACAGGAGAACAUUGUGAAGUUGGGAUGAUAAUAGGCAAACAAGGAAUAAAUAACAAGGGGACAAACAGGAGAACACUGUGAAGGUGGGAUGAUAAUAGGCAAACAAGGAAUAAAUAACAAGGGGAUAAACAGGAGAACACUGUGAAGGUGGGAUGAUAAUGGGCAAACAAGGAAUAAAUAACAAGGGGAUAAACAGGAGAACACUGUGAAGGUGGGAUGAUAAUAGGCAAACAAGGAAUAAAUAACAAGGAGAUAAACAGGAGAACACUGUGAAGGUGGGAUGAUAAUAGGAAAACAAGAAAUAAAUAACAAGGGGAUAAACAGGAGAACACUGUGAAGGUGGGAUGAUAAUAGGCAAACAAGGAAUAAAUAACAAGGGGAUAAACAGGAGAACACUGUGAAAGUGGGAUGAUAAUAGGCAAACAAGGAAUAAAUAACAAGGGGAUAAACAGGAGAACACUGUGAAGGUGGGAUGAUAAUAGGCAAACAAGGAAUAAAUAACAGGGGGAUAAACAGGAGAACACUGUGAAGGUGGGAUGAUGAUAAUAGGCAAACAAGGAAUAAAUAACCAGGGGAUAAACAGGAGAACACUGUGAAGGUGGGAUGAUAAUAGGCAAACAAGGAAUAAAUAACAAGGGGAUAAACAGGAGAACACUGUGAAGGUGGGA
This is a long non-coding RNA of Nematostella vectensis (starlet sea anemone), 770 nucleotides long. RefSeq lists it as uncharacterized. The record is from RefSeq and is a predicted model, not a curated record. NCBI's taxonomy places the organism in Eukaryota, Metazoa, Cnidaria, Anthozoa, Actiniaria, Edwardsiidae. The transcript is spliced from 2 exons.